RNAcentral lists this unclassified non-coding RNA (407 nucleotides) under Hevea brasiliensis (rubber tree). The record is from RNAcentral. Lineage: Eukaryota; Viridiplantae; Streptophyta; Magnoliopsida; Malpighiales; Euphorbiaceae.
UUUCUUCAUUUCUCCAAGUACUGGAGACAGAAACAGCAACUCCAAAAAUGAAAAAGAAUUUCUUUCACUCUCUAAUUCCAUUCACAAACCUUUGCUUCUUAAUCUUAUUACCUGCAUGUAACCCAAUAUCGGCUCCGGCGACUCGUUCGGAAUCUGAUCUGAGUUCUCUGACUCGGGAGCUGCUGGAGUCGGCGAGAGAGCCUGAGUUCUUCGAUUGGUUAAAACGGAUUAGGAGGAGAAUCCAUGAAUACCCAGAGCUUGCAUUUGAAGAGUACAACACGAGUGAAUUCAUAAGAUCGGAGCUUGACUCGCUUGGAAUUGAGUAUGUUUGGCCUAUCGCGAAGACUGGGUUGGUGGGUUCGAUUGGAACAGGGGUGGAGCCCUGGUUCGGUCUUAGAGCAGACAUG